AUUGGACGCUGGCGGCAUGCCUUACACAUGCAAGUCGAACGGCAGCACGGGAGCAAUCCUGGUGGCGAGUGGCGAACGGGUGAGUAAUAUAUCGGAACGUGCCCAGUCGUGGGGGAUAACGCAGCGAAAGCUGUGCUAAUACCGCAUACGAUCUAAGGAUGAAAGCGGGAGAUCGCAAGACCUCGCGCGAUUGGAGCGGCCGAUAUCAGAUUAGCUAGUUGGUGGGGUAAAGGCCCACCAAGGCGACGAUCUGUAGCUGGUCUGAGAGGACGACCAGCCACACUGGAACUGAGACACGGUCCAGACUCCUACGGGAGGUAGCAGUGGGUAAUUUUGGACAAUGGGCGCAAGCCUGAUCCAGCAAUGCCGCGUGCAGGAUGAAGGCCUUCGGGUUGUAAACUGCUUUUGUACGGAACGAAACGGCCCUUUCUAAUACAGGGGGCUAAUGACGGUACCGUAAGAAUAAGCACCGGCUAACUACGUGCCAGCCGCCGCCGUAA
RNAcentral lists this ribosomal RNA (500 nucleotides) under uncultured bacterium. RNAcentral describes it as "partial 16S ribosomal RNA". It matches the Rfam family "Bacterial small subunit ribosomal RNA", at positions 30 to 523 of the family's 1533-position model. The record is from RNAcentral.